CUAACAAGGAUUCCCCUAGUAACGGCGAGUGAAGCGGGAAGAGCUCAAAUUUGAAAUCUCCGAUGCUUGCAUCGGCGAGUUGUAGUUGCGAGAAGCACUUUCUAGGCGGAUCGGCACUGCCCAAGUUGCUUGGAACAGCACGUCACAGAGGGUGACAACCCCGUCUGUGGCAGUGGCGGCCGCUGACGAUGUGCUUUCGAAGAGUCGGGUUGUUUGGGAAUGCAGCCCAAAAUGGGUGGUAAACUCCAUCUAAAGCUAAAUACUGGCGUGAGACCGAUAGCGAAGGAAACGAAUGGACUCAGCAAUGUGCCGUUUGAGAUUCAGCCGCGCGGGCGGGUGCGGCUCGGGGUUUGCGGAUCUGAAUGGACCGCGGUCUCGGGCUCGUCUCCCCCCGCCGGCGCACUUCUCUUGGGCACGCGUCAACGUCGGUUGGAACUGGGCCUGAAAGGUGCCGGGAAGGUAGGUUCGCACCCUCGGGUGCGGCCUGUUACAGCCCGGCUCUUGCGGCUCGGGUCCGACCGUGGCGGUUUGCAGUGCAUGCCUCUUGUGGCUAGGGUCCCGCCCUUCCGGCCGGUCGUCGAAUGCGGUGGACUGCUUGCAGUGCUCCGCGACCGCUGCCGGUCGUUGGGGUGGUAUCU
This 638-nucleotide ribosomal RNA is filed under the name Madracis pharensis. RNAcentral describes it as "eukaryotic LSU rRNA". The stretch from base 1 to 281 matches the Rfam family "Eukaryotic large subunit ribosomal RNA", at positions 65 to 358 of the family's 3401-position model. Lineage: Eukaryota; Metazoa; Cnidaria; Anthozoa; Scleractinia; Pocilloporidae. The record is from RNAcentral.